CCUACGGGCGGCAGCAGUGGGGAAUAUUGCGCAAUGGGCGAAAGCCUGACGCAGCGACGCCGCGUGCGGGAUGAAGGUCUUCGGAUCGUAAACCUCUGUCAGCAGGGAAGAACGGUUACUGUGCUAAACAGCAGUGAAUUGACGGUACCUGCAAAGGAAGCACCGGCUAACUCCGUGCCAGCAGCCGCGGUAAUACGGAGGGUGCGAGCGUUAAUCGGAAUUACUGGGCGUAAAGCGCUCGUAGGCGGUUUGUCAAGUCAAGGGUGAAAUCCCCGGGCUCAACGUGGGAACUGCCUUUGAAACUGGCAAACUAGAGUGUGUGAGAGGUAAGUGGAAUUCAAGGUGUAGGGGUGAAAUGCGUAGAUAUCUGGAAGAACAUCAGUGGCGAAGGCGACUAACUGGCACAUAACUGACGCUGAGGAGCGAAAGCGUGGGUAGCAAACAGGAUUAGAUACCCUAGUAGUC
Molecule: ribosomal RNA, 465 nt
Filed under: uncultured bacterium
Lineage: Bacteria
Description: partial 16S ribosomal RNA
Rfam family: Bacterial small subunit ribosomal RNA
Source: RNAcentral